This 203-nucleotide unclassified non-coding RNA is filed under the name uncultured Ascomycota. Its description in RNAcentral is "sequence contains ITS1". Lineage: Eukaryota; Fungi; Ascomycota. The record is from RNAcentral.
UAGAGUUCUAACAAACUCCCAACCCGUGUGAACCUUACCUCCAGUUGCCUCGGCAGGUCGCGCCAGCCCGAGGGGUCGUCCCCCGCAGCCUAGCAUCAAGCCUAGCUAUGGGACACCCCCCGGGGGGGCGCGGUUGAAGCCUGCCGGCGGACCCUCGAACGCUGUUUAUUAUUGGAAUUCUGAACCUAUAACUUAAUGAGUUA